This 497-nucleotide ribosomal RNA is filed under the name uncultured bacterium. RNAcentral describes it as "partial 16S ribosomal RNA". It matches the Rfam family "Bacterial small subunit ribosomal RNA", at positions 28 to 507 of the family's 1533-position model. The record is from RNAcentral.
GAUGAACGCUGGCGGCGUGCCUAAUACAUGCAAGUAGAACGCUGAAGCUUGGUGCUUGCACCGAGCGGAUGAGUUGCGAACGGGUGAGUAACGCGUAGGUAACCUGCCUCUUAGCGGGGGAUAACUAUUGGAAACGAUAGCUAAUACCGCAUAAAAGUCGAUAUCGCAUGAUAUUGAUUUGAAAGGUGCAAAUGCAUCACUAAGAGAUGGACCUGCGUUGUAUUAGCAAGUUGGUGAGGUAACGGCUCACCAAGGCGACGAUACAUAGCCGACCUGAGAGGGUGAUCGGCCACACUGGGACUGAGACACGGCCCAGACUCCUACGGGAGGCAGCAGUAGGGAAUCUUCGGCAAUGGGGGCAACCCUGACCGAGCAACGCCGCGUGAGUGAAGAAGGUUUUCGGAUCGUAAAGCUCUGUUGUAAGAGAAGAACGAGUGUGAGAGUGGAAAGUUCACACUGUGACGGUAACUUACCAGAAAGGGACGGCUAACUACGUG